CUCGCGUGCCCCCGCGAGAGGGGACCGCGCACAUGGCAGCCCCCCGGCUCUCUCUCUCUCUGCCCGCGUGCCCCCGCGAGAGGGGACCCGCGCACAUGGCAGGCCCCCCCCGGCUCUCUCCCUCCCUCUCCUCCCCCCUCCCCGGCUCCCUCCUCCUCUACUGUGGUCCUUCCUCUGAUCCCUUCUCUCUUCGAUCCGCCCCUUUCGGGUGUUUGUCGGACCCUACCCUGACCUCCCCCUCUCCCUGUCCCCUCCCCUGCCUCUCUCUCCCUCUCUCUUUUUCUUCUCUCUCUUACUCCCGCGCCCCUCUCCCCGCCUCCUUCUCCUGUCGCCCCACAGGGCUCGCAGGCCCCCGCGCCCUCUCCCUAGUGCUCGUGUCCUGUUCGCGGGCGCGGGCGCAGGUGCGAGCGGGUGCGGGCGAGCGGGCUCGGACGCGGGCACGGGCGGCGCGCGGGAGGGAGCCGGGGCGCGAGCGGGUGCCCGGCGCGGGUCGGUCGCAGGGGGCAGCACGUGCGAGCGCGCCCGGGCCCCGGGCGCGGGUCGGACGCAGAGGGCAGCACGUGCGAGCGCGGCACGGGCGGGCAACUCUCCCUUCCCCCCUUCCCCCACCCCUCUCCGGAGAAACAUAAGUUAACAAACAACUGAGAGUGAUUGUUUUUAGUGUAAUCCUUUCCUCAGUCUCUAUCUCUUGCACUCCAAGUGUUUGUGAAUUGCCUCUGCAGUGGUGAAGUAGCUGUGGUCUGAGCUUAUUAUCUGGAGGAUUAAUGCUUUAUCUUUCAUAGCUGAAUCGGUGGCGUCAGCGAUCAUCGAGGCGUGCCCGGCGGCUGGCGGCAUGUAGGAAAAUCCUCCUAAAUUUGGAGAAAUUCAGAAGCUGGGUUAUCAAAAACCUCGAAAUUACUACGUAAAUGGAUCGAUCGGGGAUCGAGCACUUCCUUCGAUCUCUUCUCCGCAUUCAUUUGGGGCCUCGAAGGGAGCUUCACACGUAGAAGCGUUUGCUCAUAUACGGAGAGGUCGUGUUGGAGAAGAAUGAAAUCGCACGAGGAGAGAGAAAGGAGGUUUUCCUUUGCUGUUUCGUUUUUGUUCUGUAAAUUUUGGGUUUAAUGGCAUUUUUUCUUGUGGGAGUUGCAUACUUUGCUUCUUAAUUUAGGGAAAGCUUGUUGGGUUUUGCUCUAGGGGUUUUGUGCAGUACGCGUUGCUGGUAAAGAUGGGGAGUUUAUAUGUGUUUUAUUUAAUGUUGUAGCAGUUGCAGCAAUGUGUGGGAGAUUGAGAAAGAUUUGAUGAUGGAGAAUGCAGAUGAAGCAGGGGAUGAUCAGGGAUCGGGUUGGUUUGAAGUGAAAAAGGCGAUGAUGAUAAGUAGAGGAAAACGUGGAAAAUGAUGGCUUCGAACAAGCGGAAGUUUGGACGGUCUAUUCAUAGGCAACCACUUUCUAAUGUUCUUAUACUUGGUCUUUGCACACAUGUUCCUCCUACGGCGAUGCUGAUAGAUGAAAGAAAUCUCACUUCGAAUGUCCUCUUGGUCGAUAGGAGUGCACACUCAAAUAUGUCUUUCAUCUUAGCCUCAAACAAAAAAAUUCAAUUGGUUCAUAUUUAUUUAGCUUCUUCUGUGAGUUUUUUCUCCCCCCCCUCCUGAUUAAAUAUGCCAUUCAUCUGAGCCUAUUUAUUUAGCUUCUUCUGUGAGUUUUUUUCCCUCCCCCAAGGUGGUAACUACUAUAUAAGGCUACUUCAUACUUUGUUCGAUUUUAAAUUUGCACUGCGCAAAUCACUUUGUAAA
Molecule: long non-coding RNA, 1771 nt
Organism: Ananas comosus (pineapple)
Lineage: Eukaryota; Viridiplantae; Streptophyta; Magnoliopsida; Poales; Bromeliaceae
Exons: 3
Source: RefSeq, a predicted model, not a curated record